RNAcentral lists this ribosomal RNA (429 nucleotides) under bacterium. Its description in RNAcentral is "partial 16S ribosomal RNA". It matches the Rfam family "Bacterial small subunit ribosomal RNA", at positions 355 to 776 of the family's 1533-position model. The record is from RNAcentral.
UAGGGAAUCUUCCACAAUGGACGCAAGUCUGAUGGAGCAACGCCGCGUGAGUGAAGAAGGUUUUCGGAUCGUAAAGCUCUGUUGUUGGUGAAGAAGGAUAGAGGCAGUAACUGGUCUUUAUUUGACGGUAAUCAACCAGAAAGUCACGGCUAACUACGUGCCAGCAGCCGCGGUAAUACGUAGGUGGCAAGCGUUGUCCGGAUUUAUUGGGUGUAAAGCGAGCGCAGGCGGAAUGAUAAGUCUGAUGUGAAAGCCCACGGCUCAACCGUGGAAAUGCAUCGGAAACUGUCAUUCUUGAGUGCAGAAGAGGAGAGUGGAAUUCCAUGUGUAGCGGUGGAAUGCGUAGAUAUAUGGAAGAACACCAGUGGCGAAGGCGGCUCUCUGGUCUGCAACUGACGCUGAGGCUCGAAAGCAUGGGUAGCGAACAGG